RNAcentral lists this ribosomal RNA (2902 nucleotides) under Klebsiella pneumoniae. Its description in RNAcentral is "23S ribosomal RNA". It matches the Rfam family "Bacterial large subunit ribosomal RNA". Lineage: Bacteria; Pseudomonadati; Pseudomonadota; Gammaproteobacteria; Enterobacterales; Enterobacteriaceae. The record is from RNAcentral.
GGUUAAGCGACUAAGCGUACACGGUGGAUGCCCUGGCAGUCAGAGGCGAUGAAGGACGUGCUAAUCUGCGAAAAGCGUCGGUAAGGUGAUAUGAACCGUUAUAACCGGCGAUGUCCGAAUGGGGAAACCCAGUGUGAUUCGUCACACUAUCGUUAACUGAAUACAUAGGUUAACGAGGCGAACCGGGGGAACUGAAACAUCUAAGUACCCCGAGGAAAAGAAAUCAACCGAGAUUCCCCCAGUAGCGGCGAGCGAACGGGGAGCAGCCCAGAGUCUGAAUCAGCUUGUGUGUUAGUGGAACGGUCUGGAAAGUCCGACGGUACAGGGUGAUAGUCCCGUACACCAAAAUGCACAGGCUGUGAACUCGAAGAGUAGGGCGGGACACGUGGUAUCCUGUCUGAAUAUGGGGGGACCAUCCUCCAAGGCUAAAUACUCCUGACUGACCGAUAGUGAACCAGUACCGUGAGGGAAAGGCGAAAAGAACCCCGGCGAGGGGAGUGAAAAAGAACCUGAAACCGUGUACGUACAAGCAGUGGGAGCACCUUCGGGUGUGACUGCGUACCUUUUGUAUAAUGGGUCAGCGACUUAUAUUCUGUAGCAAGGUUAACCGUAUAGGGGAGCCGCAGGGAAACCGAGUCUUAACUGGGCGUUAAGUUGCAGGGUAUAGACCCGAAACCCGGUGAUCUAGCCAUGGGCAGGUUGAAGGUUGGGUAACACUAACUGGAGGACCGAACCGACUAAUGUUGAAAAAUUAGCGGAUGACUUGUGGCUGGGGGUGAAAGGCCAAUCAAACCGGGAGAUAGCUGGUUCUCCCCGAAAGCUAUUUAGGUAGCGCCUCGUGAAUUCAUCUUCGGGGGUAGAGCACUGUUUCGGCUAGGGGGUCAUCCCGACUUACCAACCCGAUGCAAACUACGAAUACCGAAGAAUGUUAUCACGGGAGACACACGGCGGGUGCUAACGUCCGUCGUGAAGAGGGAAACAACCCAGACCGCCAGCUAAGGUCCCAAAGUCAUGGUUAAGUGGGAAACGAUGUGGGAAGGCACAGACAGCCAGGAUGUUGGCUUAGAAGCAGCCAUCAUUUAAAGAAAGCGUAAUAGCUCACUGGUCGAGUCGGCCUGCGCGGAAGAUGUAACGGGGCUAAACCAUGCACCGAAGCUGCGGCAGCGACACUAUGUGUUGUUGGGUAGGGGAGCGUUCUGUAAGCCUGCGAAGGUGUGCUGUGAGGCAUGCUGGAGGUAUCAGAAGUGCGAAUGCUGACAUAAGUAACGAUAAAGCGGGUGAAAAGCCCGCUCGCCGGAAGACCAAGGGUUCCUGUCCAACGUUAAUCGGGGCAGGGUGAGUCGACCCCUAAGGCGAGGCCGAAAGGCGUAGUCGAUGGGAAACAGGUUAAUAUUCCUGUACUUGGUGUUACUGCGAAGGGGGGACGGAGAAGGCUAUGUUAGCCGGGCGACGGUUGUCCCGGUUUAAGCAUGUAGGCUGAUUAUCCAGGCAAAUCCGGAUAAUCAAGGCUGAGGUGUGAUGACGAGGCACUACGGUGCUGAAGUAACAAAUGCCCUGCUUCCAGGAAAAGCCUCUAAGCAUCAGGUAACAUCAAAUCGUACCCCAAACCGACACAGGUGGUCAGGUAGAGAAUACCAAGGCGCUUGAGAGAACUCGGGUGAAGGAACUAGGCAAAAUGGUGCCGUAACUUCGGGAGAAGGCACGCUGGUGUGUAGGUGAAGUCCCUGCGGAUGGAGCUGAGACCAGUCGAAGAUACCAGCUGGCUGCAACUGUUUAUUAAAAACACAGCACUGUGCAAACACGAAAGUGGACGUAUACGGUGUGACGCCUGCCCGGUGCCGGAAGGUUAAUUGAUGGGGUUAUCCGUAAGGAGAAGCUCUUGAUCGAAGCCCCGGUAAACGGCGGCCGUAACUAUAACGGUCCUAAGGUAGCGAAAUUCCUUGUCGGGUAAGUUCCGACCUGCACGAAUGGCGUAAUGAUGGCCAGGCUGUCUCCACCCGAGACUCAGUGAAAUUGAACUCGCUGUGAAGAUGCAGUGUACCCGCGGCAAGACGGAAAGACCCCGUGAACCUUUACUAUAGCUUGACACUGAACAUUGAGCCUUGAUGUGUAGGAUAGGUGGGAGGCUUUGAAGCGUGGACGCCAGUCUGCGUGGAGCCAACCUUGAAAUACCACCCUUUAAUGUUUGAUGUUCUAACGUUGGCCCCUUACCGGGGUUGCGGACAGUGUCUGGUGGGUAGUUUGACUGGGGCGGUCUCCUCCCAAAGCGUAACGGAGGAGCACGAAGGUUAGCUAAUCCUGGUCGGACAUCAGGAGGUUAGUGCAAUGGCAUAAGCUAGCUUGACUGCGAGCGUGACGGCGCGAGCAGGUGCGAAAGCAGGUCAUAGUGAUCCGGUGGUUCUGAAUGGAAGGGCCAUCGCUCAACGGAUAAAAGGUACUCCGGGGAUAACAGGCUGAUACCGCCCAAGAGUUCAUAUCGACGGCGGUGUUUGGCACCUCGAUGUCGGCUCAUCACAUCCUGGGGCUGAAGUAGGUCCCAAGGGUAUGGCUGUUCGCCAUUUAAAGUGGUACGCGAGCUGGGUUUAGAACGUCGUGAGACAGUUCGGUCCCUAUCUGCCGUGGGCGCUGGAGAAUUGAGGGGGGCUGCUCCUAGUACGAGAGGACCGGAGUGGACGCAUCACUGGUGUUCGGGUUGUCAUGCCAAUGGCACUGCCCGGUAGCUAAAUGCGGAAGAGAUAAGUGCUGAAAGCAUCUAAGCACGAAACUUGCCCCGAGAUGAGUUCUCCCUGAGACUUUAAGUCUCCUGAAGGAACGUUAAAGACGAUGACGUUGAUAGGCCGGGUGUGUAAGCGCAGCGAUGCGUUGAGCUAACCGGUACUAAUGAACCGUGAGGCUUAACCUU